CUCCGUAGGGGUAACCUGCGGAGGGAUCAUUACACAAAUAUGAAGGCGGGCUGGAACCUCUCGGGGUUACAGCCUUGCUGAAUUAUUCACCCUUGUCUUUUGCGUACUUCUUGUUUCCUUGGUGGGUUCGCCCACCACUAGGACAAACAUAAACCUUUUGUAAUUGCAAUCAGCGUCAGUAACAAAUUAAUAAUUACAACUUUCAACAACGGAUCUCUUGGUUCUGGCAUCGAUGAAGAACGCAGCGAAAUGCGAUAAGUAGUGUGAAUUGCAGAAUUCAGUGAAUCAUCGAAUCUUUGAACGCACAUUGCGCCCUUUGGUAUUCCAAAGGGCAUGCCUGUUCGAGCGUCAUUUGUACCCUCAAGCUUUGCUUGGUGUUGGGCGUCUUGUCUCUAGCUUUGCUGGAGACUCGCCUUAAAGUAAUUGGCAGCCGGCCUACUGGUUUCGGAGCGCAGCACAAGUCGCACUCUCUAUCAGCAAAGGUCUAGCAUCCAUUAAGCCUUUUUUUCAACUUUUGACCUCGGAUCAGGUAGGGAUACCCGCUGAACUUAAGCAUAUCAAUAAGCCGGAGGAACC
RNAcentral lists this ribosomal RNA (576 nucleotides) under Alternaria brassicae. Its description in RNAcentral is "eukaryotic LSU rRNA". The stretch from base 198 to 351 matches the Rfam family "5.8S ribosomal RNA". Lineage: Eukaryota; Fungi; Ascomycota; Dothideomycetes; Pleosporales; Pleosporaceae. The record is from RNAcentral.